Molecule: ribosomal RNA, 350 nt
Filed under: uncultured Pelotomaculum sp.
Lineage: Bacteria; Bacillati; Bacillota; Clostridia; Eubacteriales; Desulfotomaculaceae
Description: bacterial SSU rRNA
Rfam family: Bacterial small subunit ribosomal RNA
Source: RNAcentral
AGACAGGUGGUGCAUGGUUGUCGUCAGCUCGUGUCGUGAGAUGUUGGGUUAAGUCCCGCAACGAGCGCAACCCCUACGUUUAGUUGCUAACGCGUGAAGGCGAGCACUCUAGACGAACUGCCGUUGACAAAACGGAGGAAGGUGGGAUGACGUCAAAUCAUCAUGCCCCUUAUGUUCUGGGCUACACACGUGCUACAAUGGCCGGUACAGACGGACGCAAAGCCGCGAGGCGGAGCAAAUCCGAAAAAGCCGGCCUCAGUUCGGAUUGCAGGCUGCAAUUCGCCUGCAUGAAGUCGGAAUCGCUAGUAAUCGCAGGUCAGCAUACUGCGGUGAAUACGUUCCCGGGCCUU